UGCGACCCCAGGUCAGGCGGGGCUACCCGCUGAAUUUA
RNAcentral lists this ribosomal RNA (38 nucleotides) under Celtis laevigata (sugar hackberry). Its description in RNAcentral is "partial 26S ribosomal RNA". The record is from RNAcentral. Lineage: Eukaryota; Viridiplantae; Streptophyta; Magnoliopsida; Rosales; Cannabaceae.